UACGUAGGGUGCGAGCGUUGUCCGGAAUUAUUGGGCGUAAAGAGCGCGUAGGCGGUUUUUCCCGUCUGCUGUGAAAUCCCGAGGCUCAACCUCGGGCCUGCAGUGGGUACGGGCAGACUGGAGUGCGGUAGGGGAGAAUGGAAUUCCUGGUGUAGCGGUGGAAUGCGCAGAUAUCAGGAGGAACACCGAUGGCGAAGGCAGUUCUCUGGGCCGUAACUGACGCUGAGGAGCGAAAGCGUGGGGAGCGAACAGG
Molecule: ribosomal RNA, 253 nt
Filed under: uncultured bacterium
Lineage: Bacteria
Description: partial 16S ribosomal RNA
Rfam family: Bacterial small subunit ribosomal RNA
Source: RNAcentral